RNAcentral lists this long non-coding RNA (1371 nucleotides) under Capra hircus (goat). RNAcentral's name for it is "lncRNA (ENSCHIG00010001175.1)". Lineage: Eukaryota; Metazoa; Chordata; Mammalia; Artiodactyla; Bovidae. The record is from RNAcentral.
GGGUUGCCAUUCCCUUCUCCAGGGGAUCUUCCCAACCCAGGGAUAGAACUCAGAUCUUCUGCAUUACAAAAAGCAAGUUUACAGAAUUUUAAAGAACCAACUUGCCAGAGUCAUACGUACACAUACAAUCAGUGAGGAACUGGGGCUCUAACGUGGACCUGAGCACUUUAUUACUCCCUUUCAUGUAUUGAGCAAUUCAACUGACCUAACCCUCUAUCCAUCCUCCCAUGUAAAUCCACCAGAACAGAUUUUUUUUUUAAUAAAAAUUUAAUUAUAUAAGUAACAGCAUGCCUCUAAUUGAAAGUCUGGAAAAUAUAAUGGAUGUACCAAAAGUCAUAUCUUUUUUUAUUGCUUUUAUAAUUAGUAUUUUAAUGAACACCUUGUACAUAAAUCUCUGCACAGUUUUAUUCCACAUUUAUAAAGCAUUAUAAAUGGAAUUCUGGGUCAAAUAGUGGCAAUACAGUCUGCCAGAACAUCUGACUUUAAUACUGCUGAACUGACGAAGAGAUUAUGGUUCCUUAAGAAAAACAGCCAUGCCUAAUUUUCCCGUUAUCCGCAAUGCCUAGGCACAUGAGCAAGUGUUCUCAUGACUGCUGAACAGAGGUUUCUCUCCCCUUAGUACACAGUCUCUGAAGAGAGGAAUAAACAGAGCAGGCUUUCAAAUUAGAAGACAAUUGUGCCAAAUAUCAAAUUCAUUAGUGGGCUGCAUAAAACUCUUUUUAGGGAGAAAAGAACAUGAACAUUAACACUGCCAUUCAAUAUAUUUCCAUGUGUUUAAAAGACUUUGGAUAUCUUAUAUUUUUUAAAUACAGUAUGUUAGUAGGUAUAUAGCAUAUAUUGAAGACACUGUUUCUCCCAGUUUACCUACAUGUCUUAAUCUGCUAUUGUCCAUGGAAAUAAUUUCAGAACAUGUAGAAAAUUCAGAGUUGUAUAUUUUAACAAUGACUAGAUUUCUCUUACUUAGAUUUUCUGUCAAAAAUCAUCAUCGAUUUUCAUCAAGUUCUAAUGAUAUUAUAGCAGGCAAUGUCCCCAGAAAAAUGAAAAAGACUGACUACAAAACAAUGUGCCAGCAGGUACUGAACUAGCACUUUAGAUGCAUUAAUUUAAACUUUACAACAUUACUUUAUAUUAUUAUUACUAUUACCUCUAUUUCAUAGGCAAACUAAAACAGAGAAAGAUUGAAGUUGCUUGUUUGGGGACUUCUGGUCCAGCGGUUAAGACUCUAUAUGUUUCCACUGCAGGGGCACACUUACUUCCACUUAUUUCCUGGCUGGGAUAUAAGAUCCCAUAUGCCAUGCAAGUGGGGCCGAAAAAAAAGAAACUUGCUUGUUUUUUGAAUAUAGGUAUUCUGGCCAUUACUUUGCCAACAAA